Molecule: ribosomal RNA, 519 nt
Filed under: uncultured eukaryote
Lineage: Eukaryota
Description: bacterial SSU rRNA
Rfam family: Eukaryotic small subunit ribosomal RNA
Source: RNAcentral
AGGGCACCACCAGAUAUGGAGCCUGCGGCUUAAUUUGACUCAACACGGGAAAACUUACCCGGCCCGGACACUGGAAGGAUUGACAGAUUGAGAGCUCUUUCUUGAUUCAGUGGGUGGUGGUGCAUGGCCGUUCUUAGUUGGUGGAGCGAUUUGUCUGGUUAAUUCCGAUAACGAACGAGACUCUAGCCUAUUAAAUAGGCUGCCGGUCUUUUCUUGUCCGUAGGACUUCUUAUACUUCCGGGUGGGGGUUCAUGCGCAGAAAAGAGAGCAGUUUCUUAUCUGUGAUGGCCUUUGAUGUCCGGGGCCAAACGCACGCUAAACUGAACAGAUCUGCCUGUUUGAGUCUCCUGCUCCGGGCGGACUGCGCAACCCAGUGAAACCUCUUCUUGAUUGUUAUUGAACAUUGUAAUUUGUCUUCCCGAACGAACAACCUCCAGUAAAGGCGAGUCAUCUUGUCGUGUUGACUACGUCCCUGCCCUUUGCACACACCGCCCGUCGCUACUGUCGAUUGAAUUAUUU